AGUGAACGCUGGCGGUAGGCCUAACACAUGCAAGUCGAACGGCAGCACAGUAAGAGCUUGCUCUUACGGGUGGCGAGUGGCGGACGGGUGAGGAAUACAUCGGAAUCUACUUUUUCGUGGGGGAUAACGUAGGGAAACUUACGCUAAUACAGCAUACGACCUACGGGUGAAAGCAGGGGAUCUUCGGACCUUGCGCGAUUGAAUGAGCCGAUGUCGGAUUAGCUAGUUGGCGGGGUAAAGGCCCACCAAGGCGACGAUCCGUAGCUGGUCUGAGAGGAUGAUCAGCCACACUGGAACUGAGACACGGUCCAGACUCCUACGGGAGGCAGCAGUGGGGAAUAUUGGACAAUGGGCGCAAGCCUGGUCCAGCCAUACCGCGUGGGUGAAGAAGGCCUUCGGGUUGUAAAGCCCUUUUGUUGGGAAAGAAAAGCAGCAGGUUAAUACCCCGCUGUUCUGACGGUACCCAAAGAAUAAGCACCGGCUAACUUCGUG
RNAcentral lists this ribosomal RNA (492 nucleotides) under uncultured bacterium. RNAcentral's name for it is "partial 16S ribosomal RNA". It matches the Rfam family "Bacterial small subunit ribosomal RNA", at positions 29 to 507 of the family's 1533-position model. The record is from RNAcentral.